AAUGAGAAAAGUGUAGGGCAGGUUUGCCCCUACGAACAGGUGAAGGCGAAUGACGUGUGGCCACGGUGGUCCUCAUCUGGACAGGGAUAGCCAGUGUUCCCGAUGGUCUGGUAACCUCUAGGUUGCAUCCAGGGCCAGAUUUAGGUUUGAUAAGGCCCUAAACUACUGAAGGUUGUGAACCACGCUGUGAUCUUCAGAUGAGGUCUUAUCUUCAAGAACCAUUCCAGAGGAUAGCAUUGCAUAUCUUGUCUGUAAUGCUAUUUAACAUCUGUAGGAAGUGAUUAGAUCUGGAGCACAGUGUACAUUGAUGAUAUCUCAACUAUUUCUUUGUUAACAUAUGAAUUGGGAAUGGCUGUGUAGGCCCUGGAUCGGUGCCUGGGUGCUAUUGCUCUCCAACAUGAGUUUUAAUCAAC
Long non-coding RNA from Podarcis muralis (Common wall lizard), 413 nucleotides. RefSeq lists it as uncharacterized. NCBI's taxonomy places the organism in Eukaryota, Metazoa, Chordata, Lepidosauria, Squamata, Lacertidae. The record is from RefSeq and is a predicted model, not a curated record.